GUGAGAAAUAGCUCAAAGGUUAGUGUCGCGACCUAAAUUGGUGUCAACAGCUAGCCAAUGGAGUCCUGCUCUAUUUCGCUCUUUUGGCUCGGCCUCCUCCUCCCGACACUUCUAGUUUUCCUUCUCAACCGUCGGAAGCGCACCAAGCUUCCCCCUCAGCCCCCAGCAUGGCCCGUGAUCGGCAACAUCCUCGACCUCGGGACCAUGCCGCACCAGAACCUCCACAACCUCCGAGCCAAGCAUGGGCCUGUCUUGUGGUUGAAGCUCGGUUCCGUGAACACCAUGGUGAUCCAAUCAGCUCGAGCGGCCAUGGAGUUAUUCAAGGGCCAUGACUUCGUGUUCGCAGACCGCAAGUGUUCCCAAGCGUUUACUGCUCUCGGCUAUGACCAAGGCUCGCUCGCUCUUGGUCGUCAUGGUGACUACUGGCGCGCUCUCCGGCGUCUCUGCUCCGCGGAGCUCCUCGUGAACAAGCGCGUCAACGAUACGGCCCACCUCAGGCAAAAGUGUGUCGACAGCAUGAUCAUGUAUAUAGAAGAAGAAAUGGCAGUCAAACAAGCAACAAAAGGGCAAGGAAUCGACUUAUCUCACUUCCUCUUUCUCCUGGCAUUUAAUGUGGUGGGCAACAUGGUGCUCUCACGGGAUCUAUUGGACCCAAAAUCGAAGGAUGGGCCCGAGUUCUACGACGCCAUGAACCGGUUCAUGGAGUGGGCUGGCAAGCCCAACGUAGCCGACUUCAUGCCAUGGUUGAAAUGGUUGGAUCCGCAGGGGAUCAAGGCAGGCAUGGCGAAGGACAUGGGUCGAGCCAUGAGGAUUGCCGAAGGCUUUGUGAAAGAGAGGUUGGAGGAGCGAAAGCUAAGGGGAGAGAUGAGAACAACGAAUGAUUUCUUGGACGCAGUAUUGGAUUAUGAGGGCGAUGGAAAAGAAGGCCCUCACAAAAUCUCUUCCCAGAACAUAAAUAUAAUCAUUCUGGAAAUGUUUUUCGCCGGAUCGGAGAGUACAAGUAGCACCAUCGAGUGGGCGAUGGCGGAGCUACUCCGCCAGCGAGUCGAUGAAAAAGGCCAAAGAUGAGAUUGACCAGGUUGUGGGGUUGAACAGAAAGCUCGAAGAAAAUGACACGGAAAAGAUGCCAUUUUUGCAAGCCGUGGUGAAGGAAACCCUAAGAUUGCAUCCCCAUUACCUUUACUUAUCCCACGAAAUGCUCUAAAGGAAACCAAAUUCAUGGGUUUUGAUAUACCCAAAGAUACCCAGGUUUUCGUGAAUGCAUGGAGCAUUGGAAGAGACCCCGAUGCUUGGGAGGACCCAUUGGCAUUCAAACCAGAGAGGUUCAUGGGAUCAAAAAUUGACUACAAGGGUCAAAACUUUGAGCUAAUUCCAUUUGGAUCAGGCAGAAGAAUAUGCGUCGGACUUUCAUUGGCGGAUAGGGUGCUUCAUCUUGGUCUUGCAACACUGCUUUACCAUUUCGAUUGGGAACUAGGCGAUGGUUCAACUCCAAAGACCCUCGACAUGAAAGAGCGGGUGGGAAUAACACUUAGAAAGCUCCAUCCUUUGAAAGUGAUACCUAAGAAAUGUAGCGUGUGAGGUAUAAUUACCCUAAGGUUAUUAUAAUGUUAUCGUGUCAAGGAUUAAAAAAGCUGUCCAAGAAAGACUUCUUAAGAACGAUGUCAUCCCUGCACAAAUAUCUUAGGGAAACUACAAGUUCUUAUGUUAGCAUUUGGGUCCCGUUUGAAUUGUAUGACUUGAGCAUGUAGCAGGGUAGCUCCCCUGCCCUUUAUACCAUCAAUAAAACCUCACUUGUCGAAAA
RNA transcript from Eucalyptus grandis, 1801 nucleotides. It is a transcript of the gene named iridoid oxidase, with no coding region annotated. The record is from RefSeq and is a predicted model, not a curated record. Lineage: Eukaryota; Viridiplantae; Streptophyta; Magnoliopsida; Myrtales; Myrtaceae. The transcript is spliced from 3 exons.